GGUUGUGGCUCAGUGGUAGAAUGCUUGUCUGGCAUGCACAAGGCACUGGGUUUGAUCCUCAGCACCA
This 67-nucleotide transfer RNA is filed under the name Marmota monax (woodchuck). RNAcentral's name for it is "tRNA.Ala". The record is from RNAcentral. Lineage: Eukaryota; Metazoa; Chordata; Mammalia; Rodentia; Sciuridae.